This 273-nucleotide ribosomal RNA is filed under the name uncultured bacterium. Its description in RNAcentral is "partial 16S ribosomal RNA". It matches the Rfam family "Bacterial small subunit ribosomal RNA", at positions 523 to 796 of the family's 1533-position model. The record is from RNAcentral.
CUACGGAGGGGGUUAGCGUUGUUCGGAAUUACUGGGCGUAAAGCGUACGUAGGCGGAUUGGAAAGUAUGGGGUGAAAUCCCAGGGCUCAACCCUGGAACUGCCUCAUAAACUCCCAGUCUAGAGUUCGAGAGAGGUGAGUGGAAUUCCGAGUGUAGAGGUGAAAUUCGUAGAUAUUCGGAGGAACACCAGUGGCGAAGGCGGCUCACUGGCUCGAUACUGACGCUGAGGUACGAAAGUGUGGGGAGCAAACAGGAUUAGAUACCCCUGAGUCC